GGAAUAUUGGACAAUGGGCGCAAGCCUGAUCCAGCCACGCCGCGUGAGUGAUGAAGGCCUUCGGGUUGUAAAGCUCUGUGGGGAGGGGCGAAAACGGCCGGUAAGAAACGACCGGUCCUUGACGGUACCUCCUUAGCAAGCACCGGCUAACUCUGUGCCAGCAGCCGCGGUAAUACAGAGGGUGCGAACGUUGCUCGGAAUUACUGGGCGUAAAGCGCGUGUAGGCGGACGGGUAAGUCAGAUGUGAAAUCCCCGAGCUCAACUCGGGAACUGCAUUUGAAACUGCUCGUCUUGAGUAUCGGAGAGGGUGGCGGAAUUCCUGGUGUAGAGGUGAAAUUCGUAGAUAUCAGGAGGAACACCGGUGGCGAAGGCGGCCACCUGGACGAUCACUGACGCUGAGACGCGAAAGCGUGGGGAGCAAACAGGAUUAGAUACCCUGGUAGUCCACGCUGUAAACGAUGGGUGCUAGGUGUCUCGGGUAUUGACCCCCGAGGUGCCGUAGCUAACGCGUUAAGCACCCCGCCUGGGAAGUACGGUCGCAAGACUAAAACUCAAAGGAAUUGACGG
RNAcentral lists this ribosomal RNA (567 nucleotides) under uncultured bacterium. Its description in RNAcentral is "bacterial SSU rRNA". It matches the Rfam family "Bacterial small subunit ribosomal RNA", at positions 358 to 916 of the family's 1533-position model. The record is from RNAcentral.